AGCAGGGGUGGUUUUCUUUGUGUGCUGGUUUUUGUUCAUUUUGCAGUCCAGUGAAGGCAAAGCUCAGCCUGGAAGCCUUAUUUUUAGUCACAACUUCCUCUCUAGCUCACUUCUCUACAGCACUAGCAAUGGAGAUGGAUAGCAUUUAUACUGGGCUGCAGAAUCCCUCGGAGGACGUCUACUCCACAGUAAACACACCCCAGGGCAAGAGAGCAGGAGCAGAACAGGAUUACCCCACCCCGCCUGUGAGUGCUGCUGGCAAAGCCUCUUCAUACAGACGACCUGUACUGGUCCUCCUCAUCCUGUGCUGUCUCUUACUGGCUGCCAUCAUCUCCCU
Acipenser ruthenus (sterlet) is the source of this 337-nucleotide long non-coding RNA. RefSeq lists it as uncharacterized. The record is from RefSeq and is a predicted model, not a curated record. Lineage: Eukaryota; Metazoa; Chordata; Actinopteri; Acipenseriformes; Acipenseridae. The transcript has 3 exons.